Molecule: long non-coding RNA, 503 nt
Filed under: Homo sapiens (human)
Lineage: Eukaryota; Metazoa; Chordata; Mammalia; Primates; Hominidae
Description: non-protein coding LINC01138:39
Source: RNAcentral
CAGAGUGGGCACAGGCUCCCUCACUGGGUGAAGGAGGCGCAAAGAACGGGAAGAGCCAUCCCGGGAGCCCACCGGCCUUUCAGUUUCCCUUGGGCCCCCAGGCGGUUCAGCAUAUAAACUGUUAACAUGAGGUAAGCGCCAAGGUCUAGAGAAGGCAGUGGAAGAGAUGGCAAACUCCGGCACCAUGUCUGCGUGUCCAGUGUGCUCUGCUGGAGCAGCACAUUUUUGUACAUUGCUGUAUUUGAAAAAACCCUGCAAGAAUCAUGAAACUGGACGACCAUCUUUAUAACACUCCCAGUGAUAAAACAAGUAAGAAUGGCUGGUUUGUAGUCAUCUGAGCAGCCUCUCUAGUUUCGUAGAUAUGGUUUCUCUCUGAUAUCGAACGACUUCCAAUGUCAAGCGGAAUGCUACAUCACAAGGAUAACCGUAUGUGAAAAGAACCAGUUUUCUUUGUAAUCCUGAACUUUCUAGUUUGCGCAUUAAAAGACAUUAUUUGAAGAAGA